AUCCAGAUGAAGAGUCCAAAGUAGAACGAAACGAGCGUUGUGGAU
Molecule: non-coding RNA, 45 nt
Organism: Schistosoma rodhaini
Lineage: Eukaryota; Metazoa; Platyhelminthes; Trematoda; Strigeidida; Schistosomatidae
Source: Rfam